GUAAAAACAAAGGGGUGCCCGGCGGGCUGAGAUUAUACCCUACGAACCUGAUACGGUUAGUACCGGCGAAGGGAUUGUUUCUGAAGAACAC
RNAcentral lists this non-coding RNA (91 nucleotides) under Bacteroides sp. RNAcentral describes it as "TPP sequence". It matches the Rfam family "TPP riboswitch aptamer (THI element)". Rfam says of the family: Vitamin B(1) in its active form thiamin pyrophosphate (TPP) is an essential coenzyme that is synthesised by coupling of pyrimidine and thiazole moieties in bacteria. Lineage: Bacteria; Pseudomonadati; Bacteroidota; Bacteroidia; Bacteroidales; Bacteroidaceae. The record is from RNAcentral. RNAcentral also lists the same sequence under 1 other name.